UUAAAUUGAAGAGUUUGAUCAUGGCUCAGAUUGAACGCUGGCGGCAGGCCUAACACAUGCAAGUCGAACGGUAACAGGAAUCAGCUUGCUGAUUUGCUGACGAGUGGCGGACGGGUGAG
RNAcentral lists this ribosomal RNA (119 nucleotides) under Escherichia coli. RNAcentral's name for it is "partial 16S ribosomal RNA". It matches the Rfam family "Bacterial small subunit ribosomal RNA", at positions 1 to 110 of the family's 1533-position model. Lineage: Bacteria; Pseudomonadati; Pseudomonadota; Gammaproteobacteria; Enterobacterales; Enterobacteriaceae. The record is from RNAcentral.